GACGAACGCUGGCGGCGUGCUUAACACAUGCAAGUCGAACGGAAAGGCCCUGCUUUUGUGGGGUGCUCGAGUGGCGAACGGGUGAGUAACACGUGAGUAACCUGCCCUUGACUUUGGGAUAACUUCAGGAAACUGGGGCUAAUACCGGAUAGGAGCUCCUGCUGCAUGGUGGGGGUUGGAAAGUUUCGGCGGUUGGGGAUGGACUCGCGGCUUAUCAGCUUGUUGGUGAGGUAGUGGCUUACCAAGGCUUUGACGGGUAGCCGGCCUGAGAGGGUGACCGGCCACAUUGGGACUGAGAUACGGCGCAGACUCCUACGGGAGGCAGCAGUGGGGAGUAUUGCACAAUGGGCGGAAGCCUGAUGCAGCAACGCCGCGUGCGGGAUGACGGCCUUCGGGUUGUAAACCGCUUUCGCCUGUGACGAAGCGUGAGUGACGGUAAUGGGUAAAGAAGCACCGGCUAACUACGUG
This 468-nucleotide ribosomal RNA is filed under the name uncultured bacterium. RNAcentral describes it as "partial 16S ribosomal RNA". It matches the Rfam family "Bacterial small subunit ribosomal RNA", at positions 28 to 507 of the family's 1533-position model. The record is from RNAcentral.